GCCGGGCAUGGUGGCCCAUGCCUGUAGUCCCAGCUACUCGGGAGGCUGAGGCUGGAGGAUCACUUGAGUCCAGGAGUUCUAAGCUGUAGUGCACUAUGCCGAUUGGGUGUCCACACUAAAUUCGGCAUCAAUAUGGUGAUCUUCCAGGAGCAGGAGACCACCAGAUUGCCUAAGGAGGGGUGAACCAGCCCAGGUCAGAAACAGAGCAGGUUUGUGGCUGAUAGUCUUACAAAUGGAGCUGAAUUAAUUAUUAAGAAAGGUACUUCAGGGAGGAGAACAUUAGUUUCAG
Callithrix jacchus (white-tufted-ear marmoset) is the source of this 289-nucleotide unclassified non-coding RNA. It matches the Rfam family "Metazoan signal recognition particle RNA". Rfam says of the family: The signal recognition particle (SRP) is a universally conserved ribonucleoprotein. It is involved in the co-translational targeting of proteins to membranes. The eukaryotic SRP consists of a 300-nucleotide 7S RNA and six proteins: SRPs 72, 68, 54, 19, 14, and 9. Lineage: Eukaryota; Metazoa; Chordata; Mammalia; Primates; Cebidae. The record is from Ensembl.